GGGUUGUGAGGUUAAGCGACUAAGCGUACACGGUGGAUGCCCUGGCAGUCAGAGGCGAUGAAGGACGUGCUAAUCUGCGAUAAGCGUCGGUAAGGUGAUAUGAACCGUUAUAACCGGCGAUUUCCGAAUGGGGAAACCCAGUGUGUUUCGACACACUAUCAUUAACUGAAUCCAUAGGUUAAUGAGGCGAACCGGGGGAACUGAAACAUCUAAGUACCCCGAGGAAAAGAAAUCAACCGAGAUUCCCCCAGUAGCGGCGAGCGAACGGGGAGCAGCCCAGAGCCUGAAUCAGUGUGUGUGUUAGUGGAAGCGUCUGGAAAGGCGCGCGAUACAGGGUGACAGCCCCGUACACAAAAAUGCACAUGCUGUGAGCUCGAUGAGUAGGGCGGGACACGUGGUAUCCUGUCUGAAUAUGGGGGGACCAUCCUCCAAGGCUAAAUACUCCUGACUGACCGAUAGUGAACCAGUACCGUGAGGGAAAGGCGAAAAGAACCCCGGCGAGGGGAGUGAAAAAGAACCUGAAACCGUGUACGUACAAGCAGUGGGAGCACGCUUAGGCGUGUGACUGCGUACCUUUUGUAUAAUGGGUCAGCGACUUAUAUUCUGUAGCAAGGUUAACCGAAUAGGGGAGCCGAAGGGAAACCGAGUCUUAACUGGGCGUUAAGUUGCAGGGUAUAGACCCGAAACCCGGUGAUCUAGCCAUGGGCAGGUUGAAGGUUGGGUAACACUAACUGGAGGACCGAACCGACUAAUGUUGAAAAAUUAGCGGAUGACUUGUGGCUGGGGGUGAAAGGCCAAUCAAACCGGGAGAUAGCUGGUUCUCCCCGAAAGCUAUUUAGGUAGCGCCUCGUGAAUUCAUCUCCGGGGGUAGAGCACUGUUUCGGCAAGGGGGUCAUCCCGACUUACCAACCCGAUGCAAACUGCGAAUACCGGAGAAUGUUAUCACGGGAGACACACGGCGGGUGCUAACGUCCGUCGUGAAGAGGGAAACAACCCAGACCGCCAGCUAAGGUCCCAAAGUCAUGGUUAAGUGGGAAACGAUGUGGGAAGGCCCAGACAGCCAGGAUGUUGGCUUAGAAGCAGCCAUCAUUUAAAGAAAGCGUAAUAGCUCACUGGUCGAGUCGGCCUGCGCGGAAGAUGUAACGGGGCUAAACCAUGCACCGAAGCUGCGGCAGCGACGCUUAUGCGUUGUUGGGUAGGGGAGCGUUCUGUAAGCCUGUGAAGGUGUGCUGUGAGGCAUGCUGGAGGUAUCAGAAGUGCGAAUGCUGACAUAAGUAACGAUAAAGCGGGUGAAAAGCCCGCUCGCCGGAAGACCAAGGGUUCCUGUCCAACGUUAAUCGGGGCAGGGUGAGUCGACCCCUAAGGCGAGGCCGAAAGGCGUAGUCGAUGGGAAACAGGUUAAUAUUCCUGUACUUGGUGUUACUGCGAAGGGGGGACGGAGAAGGCUAUGUUGGCCGGGCGACGGUUGUCCCGGUUUAAGCGUGUAGGCUGGUUUUCCAGGCAAAUCCGGAAAAUCAAGGCUGAGGCGUGAUGACGAGGCACUACGGUGCUGAAGCAACAAAUGCCCUGCUUCCAGGAAAAGCCUCUAAGCAUCAGGUAACAUCAAAUCGUACCCCAAACCGACACAGGUGGUCAGGUAGAGAAUACCAAGGCGCUUGAGAGAACUCGGGUGAAGGAACUAGGCAAAAUGGUGCCGUAACUUCGGGAGAAGGCACGCUGAUAUGUAGGUGAAGUCCCUCGCGGAUGGAGCUGAAAUCAGUCGAAGAUACCAGCUGGCUGCAACUGUUUAUUAAAAACACAGCACUGUGCAAACACGAAAGUGGACGUAUACGGUGUGACGCCUGCCCGGUGCCGGAAGGUUAAUUGAUGGGGUUAGCCGCAAGGCGAAGCUCUUGAUCGAAGCCCCGGUAAACGGCGGCCGUAACUAUAACGGUCCUAAGGUAGCGAAAUUCCUUGUCGGGUAAGUUCCGACCUGCACGAAUGGCGUAAUGAUGGCCAGGCUGUCUCCACCCGAGACUCAGUGAAAUUGAACUCGCUGUGAAGAUGCAGUGUACCCGCGGCAAGACGGAAAGACCCCGUGAACCUUUACUAUAGCUUGACACUGAACAUUGAGCCUUGAUGUGUAGGAUAGGUGGGAGGCUUAGAAGUGUGGACGCCAGUCUGCAUGGAGCCGACCUUGAAAUACCACCCUUUAAUGUUUGAUGUUCUAACGUUGACCCGUAAUCCGGGUUGCGGACAGUGUCUGGUGGGUAGUUUGACUGGGGCGGUCUCCUCCUAAAGAGUAACGGAGGAGCACGAAGGUUGGCUAAUCCUGGUCGGACAUCAGGAGGUUAGUGCAAUGGCAUAAGCCAGCUUGACUGCGAGCGUGACGGCGCGAGCAGGUGCGAAAGCAGGUCAUAGUGAUCCGGUGGUUCUGAAUGGAAGGGCCAUCGCUCAACGGAUAAAAGGUACUCCGGGGAUAACAGGCUGAUACCGCCCAAGAGUUCAUAUCGACGGCGGUGUUUGGCACCUCGAUGUCGGCUCAUCACAUCCUGGGGCUGAAGUAGGUCCCAAGGGUAUGGCUGUUCGCCAUUUAAAGUGGUACGCGAGCUGGGUUUAGAACGUCGUGAGACAGUUCGGUCCCUAUCUGCCGUGGGCGCUGGAGAACUGAGGGGGGCUGCUCCUAGUACGAGAGGACCGGAGUGGACGCAUCACUGGUGUUCGGGUUGUCAUGCCAAUGGCACUGCCCGGUAGCUAAAUGCGGAAGAGAUAAGUGCUGAAAGCAUCUAAGCACGAAACUUGCCCCGAGAUGAGUUCUCCCUGAC
RNAcentral lists this ribosomal RNA (2804 nucleotides) under Escherichia coli. Its description in RNAcentral is "bacterial LSU rRNA". It matches the Rfam family "Bacterial large subunit ribosomal RNA". Lineage: Bacteria; Pseudomonadati; Pseudomonadota; Gammaproteobacteria; Enterobacterales; Enterobacteriaceae. The record is from RNAcentral.